GGAGAUGAGGUGCUUGCACCUUAUCUUAGCGGCGGACGGGUGAGUAAUGCUUAGGAAUCUGCCUAUUAGUGGGGGACAACAUUCCGAAAGGAAUGCUAAUACCGCAUACGUCCUACGGGAGAAAGCAGGGGAUCUUCGGACCUUGCGCUAAUAGAUGAGCCUAAGUCGGAUUAGCUAGUUGGUGGGGUAAAGGCCUACCAAGGCGACGAUCUGUAGCGGGUCUGAGAGGAUGAUCCGCCACACUGGGACUGAGACACGGCCCAGACUCCUACGGGAGGCAGCAGUGGGGAAUAUUGGACAAUGGGGGGAACCUGAUCCAGCCAUGCCGCGUGUGUGAAGAAGGCCUAUGGUUGUAAAGCACCUUAGCGAGGAGGAGGCUACUGAGACUAUACUCUGGGAUAGUGACGUUACUCGCAGAAUAAGCACCGCUAACUCUGUGCCAGCAGCCGCGGUAUACAGAGGGUGC
RNAcentral lists this ribosomal RNA (466 nucleotides) under Acinetobacter junii. RNAcentral describes it as "bacterial SSU rRNA". It matches the Rfam family "Bacterial small subunit ribosomal RNA", at positions 67 to 535 of the family's 1533-position model. The record is from RNAcentral. Lineage: Bacteria; Pseudomonadati; Pseudomonadota; Gammaproteobacteria; Moraxellales; Moraxellaceae.